AACGAACGCUGGCGGCAUGCCUAACACAUGCAAGUCGAACGAGACCUUCGGGUCUAGUGGCGCACGGGUGCGUAACGCGUGGGAACCUGCCCUUAGGUUCGGAAUAACUCCCCGAAAGGGGUGCUAAUACCGGAUAAUGUCUUCGGACCAAAGAUUUAUCGCCUUUGGAUGGGCCCGCGUUGGAUUAGCUAGUUGGUAGGGUAAAAGCCUACCAAGGCGACGAUCCAUAGCUGGUCUGAGAGGAUGAUCAGCCACACUGGGACUGAGACACGGCCCAGACUCCUACGGGAGGCAGCAGUGGGGAAUAUUGGACAAUGGGCGAAAGCCUGAUCCAGCAAUGCCGCGUGAGUGAGGAAUGCCUUAGGGUUGUAAAGCUCGUUUACCCGGGAUGAUAAUGACAGUACCGGGAGAAUAAGCUCCGGCUAACUCCGUG
This 433-nucleotide ribosomal RNA is filed under the name uncultured bacterium. Its description in RNAcentral is "partial 16S ribosomal RNA". It matches the Rfam family "Bacterial small subunit ribosomal RNA", at positions 29 to 507 of the family's 1533-position model. The record is from RNAcentral.